Molecule: ribosomal RNA, 1017 nt
Filed under: uncultured bacterium
Lineage: Bacteria
Description: bacterial SSU rRNA
Rfam family: Bacterial small subunit ribosomal RNA
Source: RNAcentral
UGAGGAAUAUUGGUCAAUGGCCGCAGGGCUGAACCAGCCAAGUCGCGUGAGGGAUGACGGUCCUAUGGAUUGUAAACCUCUUUUGUCAGGGAGCAAAGGACGCCACGUGUGGCGUUUUGCGAGUACCUGAAGAAAAAGCAUCGGCUAACUCCGUGCCAGCAGCCGCGGUAAUACGGAGGAUGCGAGCGUUAUCCGGAUUUAUUGGGUUUAAAGGGAGCGUAGGCGGACGCUUAAGUCAGUUGUGAAAGUUUGCGGCUCAACCGUAAAAUUGCAGUUGAUACUGGGUGUCUUGAGUACAGUAGAGGCAGGCGGAAUUCGUGGUGUAGCGGUGAAAUGCUUAGAUAUCACGAAGAACUCCGAUUGCGAAGGCAGCCUGCUGGACUGUAACUGACGCUGAUGCUCGAAAGUGUGGGUAUCAAACAGGAUUAGAUACCCUGGUAGUCCACACAGUAAACGAUGAAUACUCGCUGUUUGCGAUAUACAGUAAGCGGCCAAGCGAAAGCGUUAAGUAUUCCACCUGGGGAGUACGCCGGCAACGGUGAAACUCAAAGGAAUUGACGGGGGCCCGCACAAGCGGAGGAACAUGUGGUUUAAUUCGAUGAUACGCGAGGAACCUUACCCGGGCUUGAAUUGCAACUGAAUGAUGUGGAGACAUGUCAGCCGCAAGGCAGUUGUGAAGGUGCUGCAUGGUUGUCGUCAGCUCGUGCCGUGAGGUGUCGGCUUAAGUGCCAUAACGAGCGCAACCCUUAUCGAUAGUUACCAUCAGGUUAUGCUGGGGACUCUGUCGAGACUGCCGUCGUAAGAUGUGAGGAAGGUGGGGAUGACGUCAAAUCAGCACGGCCCUUACGUCCGGGGCUACACACGUGUUACAAUGGGGGGUACAGAAGGCAGCUACACGGCGACGUGAUGCUAAUCCCUAAAGCCUCUCUCAGUUCGGAUUGGAGUCUGCAACCCGACUCCAUGAAGCUGGAUUCGCUAGUAAUCGCGCAUCAGCCACGGCGCGGUGAAUACGUUCCC